This is a long non-coding RNA of Homo sapiens (human), 1301 nucleotides long. Ensembl annotates it as long intergenic non-protein coding RNA 1704. NCBI's taxonomy places the organism in Eukaryota, Metazoa, Chordata, Mammalia, Primates, Hominidae. The record is from Ensembl.
AGAUGCUGUUUCCUUUGCCCAGCACACCUGUCACUCACCUCAACCCUUUCUCUCUUUUCCCCAUCUUUCUGUGGCUAGCUCCUCCUCAUUCUUUAGGUCUCAGUGUAGAUAGCACCACUAUCAGGAAGGAGUCCAGACACUGCCAGGCCUAAGAAAUGUAAAUUAAAUGCUCUCAAGGGAUGAGAGACACUGGAAGCUGGGACGCUCUUGGAACUCUGUUGCCAUCAUCAAGGUGAGAAAACUCAGGGCCUGGUUCAGAGUCCAUGGAGGACUCAGGUAUUUGAGGUUUAAGUGGUUGGUACGUAAUGUCUCCAUUUUCCACCUUAAUAUAAAACGUGUCUCUUUUUCUCAUCCAAGUUUUGGACCAGCGGAGACAAAGAAAUGAGGCAGAUAGCAAAACUCACCUUUAUAACUGAUUGAAAAAAAACAUGGUGGACUGACUCACCACCCAACAUAAUUAUCGAUGGAAAACACAGGUCUCUCACUCCUGGGGACAUAGCCCUGGGAAAUGUACAGAAAGCAGCAGGUGCAUGGGGUGCUUUCUGCAUCCUGGGGCCAAGAGUGACAGCCAGAGCCUAGAGAGGCCAGGAGUGUUUGUUUAAUAGGGUUUCUGCCCCAAGAAAGAAAACACCAGCAAUGUAGAGAAAGUGUUCCCCCAAUGGCAUGUUCUAUUUCUUUUUUUCUACUUAGGCUUCCAGAUACAGCCCUCUAGGUCAUCCAGAGGUGCCAGCCAGCCCUCACCAGUGGUCAGCUUUUCCUCAGUGGAGUGGUAGGUGAGCCAGUGGAGCUUGCUCUGAAGAUACUAGAGGGAGCCAAAGCUGUCUGGCCCUUCAGUGUGACUCAGUUUCCAGACUCUUUCUCUUUAGACAUAAAUGAAGAACAAGUCAACCUUGAUGCCUUUGAGGGUUGGUUCAGCGGAUGAUGUGUUGUGGGGUUUUCCCACAGGUCAGCAGUCCAACUACCAGGGCCAGAGCCCCAUCAAAGAAUCUUCAGUGCCAGCCAGAAAGAAUGAUGAACUCCUCGUGUAAAGGGAGUUUGGGGCAACCAGUCAAACCAUGGCCUCAUGGGAAGCAGCUGACUAGGCAAUGAGAGAGGAAUACAAAAGACAAGGCACUGCGAAGCCAAGUCUGGUUGGGGAGAAGAAACCAAUAUGCCUGAAACAGGGAACCAGAAAGGACUCAGACAAAACUGCUGACAAGUAUGGGGUUUCUUGGGGUAGGUGGUGAAAAUAUUCCAAAAUAAGAUUAUAGCGAUGUUUUAAUAAUCCCCUGGAUAUAAUAAAAAAACAUCGAAUUGUACAC